GAGAGCCUGGCUAGGCAGGCUGGAAACAGUAGCUCUUAACGGUCCCCCGCCCGUUGGUGGCAAGGCGGCUGGACUGGAAUCCCAGCAGGCGACAUGCGAGGAGGCGGGCAGCCCAGGAGGGUUGGACACGGCAAUGUGGACCUCGCCGCUUCCACAACGAUGCUGGCUACUGAUCGCGUGCACUUCCUUGCCAAAGAAAAGAAAUUAAUGUUAUGACUGGAUGAAGACAAUUGUGAAGAAACUGCACUUUGAGGUUGUCUAUCUCUGUAUUCUGAUGGAAAAGCGUGGAGUUUAGAAGCACUGCUCACUCCUUCAGUUUCUAACAAGUUUGAGACUAUGGUUAGGUGGUGAGGAAGGCAGGCUCAGCACCCAAGCCUUGGGGAGACGCAGAAAGGGCCCAUCCCAGGCACUCAGGUGGAGCAGGUGGUCUGUCCUAGAGAACGUUCCAUGUGGAUUUGAGAAGAAUAUAUAUUCUCAUGUUGGAUGCAGUGCUGUGCAUAUGUUUGUUAGGUUUAGUUGUUUUAUGUUGUUGUUCAUGUUUUCUAUUUUUUAUCUUCUGUCUACUUGUUCUAUCCAUUAAUAUAAGUGAAGCAUUAAAGUCUCCAACUAUUACUGUUGAA
RNAcentral lists this long non-coding RNA (620 nucleotides) under Homo sapiens (human). Its description in RNAcentral is "non-protein coding lnc-ZNF727-6:10". Lineage: Eukaryota; Metazoa; Chordata; Mammalia; Primates; Hominidae. The record is from RNAcentral.